AUUGAACGCUGGCGGCAUGCCUUACACAUGCAAGUCAAACGGUAACAGGUCUUCGGAUGCUGACGAGUGGCGAACGGGUGAGUAAUACAUCGGAACGUGCCUAGUAGUGGGGGAUAACUACUCGAAAGAGUGGCUAAUACCGCAUGAGAUCUACGGAUGAAAGCAGGGGAUCGCAAGACCUUGUGCUACUAGAGCGGCCGAUGGCAGAUUAGGUAGUUGGUGGGAUAAAAGCUUACCAAGCCGACGAUCUGUAGCUGGUCUGAGAGGACGAUCAGCCACAAUGGGACUGAGACACGGCCCAGACUCCUACGGGAGGCAGCAGUGGGGAAUUUUGGACAAUGGGCGCAAGCCUGAUCCAGCAAUGCCGCGUGCAGGAUGAAGGCCUUCGGGUUGUAAACUGCUUUUGUACGGAACGAAAAGCCCCGGGUUAAUACCCUGGGGUCAUGACGGUACCGUAAGAAUAAGCACCGGCUAACUACGUGCCAGCAGCCGCGGUAA
This 498-nucleotide ribosomal RNA is filed under the name uncultured bacterium. Its description in RNAcentral is "partial 16S ribosomal RNA". It matches the Rfam family "Bacterial small subunit ribosomal RNA", at positions 30 to 523 of the family's 1533-position model. The record is from RNAcentral.